This 676-nucleotide long non-coding RNA is filed under the name Equus caballus (horse). RNAcentral describes it as "lncRNA (ENSECAG00000028638.2)". Lineage: Eukaryota; Metazoa; Chordata; Mammalia; Perissodactyla; Equidae. The record is from RNAcentral.
CGGAAAUUGAAGAGGGAAAUCCCAGAAUGGCUGAAACCACAGUAGAGAGAAAACUGAGGUACAGAGAGACUAAGUAGAGGUCGGUUAUAAAGAGCUGAUAAAGCAGACUUGGAUCUCAAGAUCAACUUGAAGGAAAUCCUGACACUUUUCUGGAAUUAUUCAUUGGGAGGGGGCGAACUGUUGCUUGAAGGACGCCCUGGAGACGAAGAGAACUUGGGUGUGAGUGGUGUGCUGUCUUCCCUGCUCUUGUGGGUGCUCCUAGAAGCUCCAAGCUGCCGUGGGGCACCAUCCUGGCUUUCCCUUUCUCUUGUAAGGUGCAUUUGAUUCAAGACACACCUGACGUGACCUGUUGAGCAUGCACUGUACAUCUGCUUCAAACAUUUACAACGUUCCAGAGCCAAGAAAGAUGCUCUCAGAUCCUAAGGGGCUAAAACAAGGUCCAGAAAAUUGGUGGCAAUCAAUAAGUUUAUUGUUAACUACAUGACGAGGAAACCGAUGCUUUGUGAAUUCAGAUAUGCUGGGGCAAAUUACUUUUACUUAUUUAUGAGUUGCCGGGUUUCAUUAUCAAAUGAAUCUUCACAUCCAUACAUCUCACCUUCUAUGCUGGCUCCAGCGAUGAUGUGCUCUCUUUCCAUCUGGCAGGAAACAAACAAAACAAAAUAAAAUACAAACAAAA